This 164-nucleotide ribosomal RNA is filed under the name uncultured bacterium. Its description in RNAcentral is "partial 16S rRNA". It matches the Rfam family "Bacterial small subunit ribosomal RNA", at positions 355 to 511 of the family's 1533-position model. The record is from RNAcentral.
UAGGGAACCUUCCACAAUGGGCGAAAGCCUGAUGGAGCAACGCCGCGUGUGUGAUGAAGGGUUUCGGCUCGUAAAACACUGUUGUAAGAGAAGAAUGACAUUGAGAGUAACUGUUCAAUGUGUGACGGUAUCUUACCAGAAAGGAACGGCUAAAUACGUGCCGG